GUAGUUGGUGAGGUAAAGGCUCACCAAGCCGACGACGGGUAGCCGGCCUGAGAGGGUGACCGGCCACACUGGGACUGAGACACGGCCCAGACUCCUACGGGAGGCAGCAGUGGGGAAUAUUGCACAAUGGGCGAAAGCCUGAUGCAGCAACGCCGCGUGAGGGACGAAGGCCUUCGGGUUGUAAACCUCUUUUAGUAGGGAAGAAGCGAAAGUGACGGUACCUGCAGAAAAAGCACCGGCUAACUACGUGCCAGCAGCCGCGGUAAUACGUAGGGUGCAAGCGUUGUCCGGAAUUAUUGGGCGUAAAGAGCUCGUAGGCGGUUUGUCACGUCUGCUGUGAAAACUGGAGGCUCAACCUCCAGCCUGCAGUGGGUACGGGCAGACUAGAGUGCGGUAGGGGAGAUUGGAAUUCCUGGUGUAGCGGUGGAAUGCGCAGAUAUCAGGAGGAACACCGAUGGCGAAGGCAGAUCUCUGGGCCGCUACUGACGCUGAGGAGCGAAAGCAUGGGGAGCGAACAGGAUUAGAUACCCUGGUAGUCCAUGCCGUAAACGUUGGGAACUAGAUGUGGGGACCAUUCCACGGUCUCCGUGUCGCAGCUAACGCAUUAAGUUCCCCGCCUGG
Molecule: ribosomal RNA, 621 nt
Filed under: Leifsonia antarctica
Lineage: Bacteria; Bacillati; Actinomycetota; Actinomycetes; Micrococcales; Microbacteriaceae
Description: bacterial SSU rRNA
Rfam family: Bacterial small subunit ribosomal RNA
Source: RNAcentral